GGAAUGUUGCUCAGCGAUAAAGUGCUCGCCUCCCACAUGCGAGACCCUGGGUUCGAUCCUCAGCACCA
Molecule: transfer RNA, 68 nt
Filed under: Marmota monax (woodchuck)
Lineage: Eukaryota; Metazoa; Chordata; Mammalia; Rodentia; Sciuridae
Description: tRNA.Gly
Source: RNAcentral